RNAcentral lists this ribosomal RNA (265 nucleotides) under uncultured Staphylococcus sp. RNAcentral's name for it is "partial 16S ribosomal RNA". It matches the Rfam family "Bacterial small subunit ribosomal RNA", at positions 96 to 355 of the family's 1533-position model. The record is from RNAcentral. Lineage: Bacteria; Bacillati; Bacillota; Bacilli; Caryophanales; Staphylococcaceae.
CGGCGGACGGGUGAGUAACACGUGGGUAACCUACCUAUAAGACUGGGACAACUUCGGGAAACCGGAGCUAAUACCGGAUAAGAUAUCGAACCGCAUGGUUCGAUAGUGAAAGAUGGUUUUGCUAUCACUUAUAGAUGGACCCGCGCCGUAUUAGCUAGUUGGUGAGGUAACGGCUCACAAGGCAACGAUACGUAGCCGACCUGAGAGGGUGAUCGGCCACACUGGAACUGAGACACGGUCCAGACUCCUACGGGAGGCAGCAGUU